RNAcentral lists this ribosomal RNA (301 nucleotides) under uncultured bacterium. RNAcentral describes it as "partial 16S ribosomal RNA". It matches the Rfam family "Bacterial small subunit ribosomal RNA", at positions 509 to 807 of the family's 1533-position model. The record is from RNAcentral.
CAGUAGCCGCGGGAAUACAGAGGGUGCGAGCGUUAAUCGGAUUUACUGGGCGUAAAGCGUGCGUAGGCGGCUUCUUAAGUCGGAUGUGAAAUCACUGAGCUUAACUUAGGAAUUGCAUUCGAUACUGGGAAGCUAGAGUAUGGGAGAGGAUGGUAGAAUUCCAGGUGUAGCGGUGAAAUGCGUAGAGAUCUGGAGGAAUACCGAUGGCGAAGGCAGCCAUCUGGCCUAAUACUGACGCUGAGGUACGAAAGCAUGGGGAGCAAACAGGAUUAGAUACCCGGGUAGUCCCUGUCUCUUAUAC